GGCGGGGUAGCUCAGAUGGUUAGAGCGCAGGAUUCAUAACCCUGAGGUCGGGGUCUCCCUUGAUA
RNAcentral lists this transfer RNA (65 nucleotides) under Pedobacter frigidisoli. RNAcentral describes it as "Pedobacter sp. RP-3-11 tRNA-Met". It matches the Rfam family "tRNA". From Rfam's summary of the family: Transfer RNA (tRNA) molecules are approximately 80 nucleotides in length. Their secondary structure includes four short double-helical elements and three loops (D, anti-codon, and T loops). The record is from RNAcentral. Lineage: Bacteria; Pseudomonadati; Bacteroidota; Sphingobacteriia; Sphingobacteriales; Sphingobacteriaceae.